Molecule: small RNA, 869 nt
Filed under: Rattus norvegicus (Norway rat)
Lineage: Eukaryota; Metazoa; Chordata; Mammalia; Rodentia; Muridae
Description: uncharacterized LOC102553274
Source: RNAcentral
GCCCUGGAGAGGUGGUGCAGAAGAGGCACCUCACCCUUUUAUACCCACGCUCUGCUCUUCAGGUAAAAACCCCAGGACGGACUGCGCUGCCUUAGCAGACUAACGUCCAGAGCAGACUCUAACGUGAAAAGUUCCUUUCCUCCCCAUUCUUCGACUUCGGUUUUGUGGCUUGUUUCUUUCCGGUAGAAACACAGUAAAGUCGGGGGCACCUCUGUGAGUGAAGAAUUAGAAAAACCCUCCCUGCCGCCAGAGGUCUUCCCUGCACACCCGCUGAUGAGCGGAUUCUCCUUAUCGGCCCUCCUUCAGGCUGCCUCGGACUCUCGGACUCCACCCACUGGACUCCCGCCAGACCCCUAAGCUCCUCCGCAGGGGGCCCCAGCAGUGCCUAAGGCUGAUCUCAGGAGGGAAUCGGUGGGCCCAGGUUGACUGUGAGAGCUUUGAGAUUCCCACAAAUCUCUAACACCUUUUUUCCUGAUAAAACAAGUAUAAAAUGAACCCCUCCUGGUCGUCCUGCAGCUGGUGUGGGGCCAGCUUGGGAAGGAAAGAUAUCUAGUCUUUUCUGGUGUUCGUUAUGCACAGGAAACCACAAUUUCUAAUAAUGAUGAUGAUAAAUGAUAGUGAUAAGAUGAUAAGAAUGACCCCAAAGGGGUUGAGUUUCCUCUGGUUGCCAGUAUUGUGCUAAACACCUGGCGGGCAUGAGUCAUUUAAUCACCUCAAAAUCCCUGUAUGGAAUGCUGGGCUGUGUAUUGGUAGAGCGUUUGCCUUUCAUCUACCAGGCUCUAGGUCCCAGUACUAAAAGAAACAAGCACCCCCCUGACUCCAAAUGGACAACGUUGAAGCCCCUAUAAUACAAAGAAAACUGAAGCAAA